Molecule: ribosomal RNA, 254 nt
Filed under: uncultured bacterium
Lineage: Bacteria
Description: partial 16S ribosomal RNA
Rfam family: Bacterial small subunit ribosomal RNA
Source: RNAcentral
UACGUAGGGUGCGAGCGUUGUCCGGAAUUAUUGGGCGUAAAGGGCUCGUAGGCGGUCUGUUGCGUCGGGAGUGAAAACUCAGGGCUUAACCCUGAGCCUGCUUCCGAUACGGGCAGACUAGAGGUAUGCAGGGGAGAACGGAAUUCCUGGUGUAGCGGUGAAAUGCGCAGAUAUCUGGAGGAACACCGGUGGCGAAGGCGGCAUCCUGGACCAACACUGACGCUGAGUGAGCGAAAGCCAGGGGAGCAAACGGG